Long non-coding RNA from Cyprinus carpio (common carp), 1278 nucleotides. The record is from Ensembl. Lineage: Eukaryota; Metazoa; Chordata; Actinopteri; Cypriniformes; Cyprinidae.
CUCAGGUCGGGCAGGAAUUGUCAGUGGAGGGAGUGAAUAACACUCAAUACCACGACUGAGAUGAGACCCUUGAGCAAGGCACCGAACCCCCAACUGCUCCCCGGGUGCUGCAGCAAUAUGGCUGCCCACUGCUCCAGGGGUGUGUUCACUGCUGUGUGUGCGCACUUGGAUGGGUUAAAUGCAGAGCACAAAUUCCGAGUAUGGGUCACAAUACUUGGCCACAUGUAACUUCACUUCAUUUAAAUCAUCUUGAGGCCCCAUGAACGUUUGCCGGACCUCUGGUUGAGAGUCACUUCUUUAUUCUUUACUCUAGACAUGCACACCCCAUGCACAGUCCAUAUAUGCAAGACAUUAUGUACACAAUUUACAAUCCUGCAGUUUCUCCCAAGACACUCUUGACUCAGCUCUUAUCCUUUAUAUAAUUCAUAACCGGUUUAAAAAUACCCCGCUCUCAAGCGCAUGCAGGGGUGUUUUCUCGAAUAUGGGCUGGUGGAAGGAGUGUAUUCUGCUCGGGACCGAGCCAACCUGGUUUUCUCCUUGUUUAGCCGCCGCCUCCCCUCAUGACAUCAACACUGCGGAGAGCCGCCGCGCGCUCAGACUCUGCUGCAGAACGGCACGCCAGUGCGCAAAGGCUAUUGAGAUCAUAAUUGGUGUGUUUACUGUCAUUCUGAGCACAAUUGUGUAUAAGCUGCACUACCAUAUCCAGCGUGAAAUCAUCAUCCUCAUCAUCAACGGUGCUCAGCUUGUCAUAACUGGUGUUGUCCUGGUGCACACUGGGAGGAAACCAUCUAAAUGUCUGGUGCUGACAACAUUUGUUCUGCAGUUACUAACAGCAGCAUUUGAUAUUGUUGGAUUUGGGCUGAUGGCCAGACACAUCCCAUUCAGAGGAGACUCGUACUACUACAGGGACACAGAGUGGUGUUGUGACCCACUUCACUCUCUUUCGGCUUGCUGUGGAGAUGGAGAGAAAGAGGCACAAAAAGAGUUCUUAGUGAAUGGGAUCUUGGUGACACUGAUCGGUUUCCUGAUGCUAGCAUGUGCCAUUGGUUUGGUUGUUUCUCUUUUUGGGGUCUACGCCCUUUCUGUUAGUGCCAUAAAGGAGCUGACUCCUAUCCCUCACUCUACACCAAACCAGCAUUAUGUUGAUGGCGUUCAGACCCAGAAAACGAUCCAUGCCGGAAACUGACAAAAUAAGAGGCAGAAGGGCACAGUUUUAGCACAGUUUUUCACCAACUGCAAAAGAGGACUGUUUCACCUACAAACCACUCACAGGUAACC